CCGCGUGGACGAUGAAGGCCUUCGGGUCGUAAAGUCCUUUUUGCUCGGGAACAAUAUUUUUGAGCGUACCGAGAGAAUAAGAGGGUUGCUAACUCUGUGC
This 100-nucleotide ribosomal RNA is filed under the name uncultured bacterium. RNAcentral describes it as "partial 16S ribosomal RNA". It matches the Rfam family "Bacterial small subunit ribosomal RNA", at positions 397 to 508 of the family's 1533-position model. The record is from RNAcentral.